CGAGCGCACCCUUCGGGGCGAGCGGCGGACGGGUUAGUAACGCGUGGGAACAUACCCUUUUCUAUGGAAUAGCCUUUGGAAACGAAGAGUAAUACCAUAUACGCCCUUCGGGGGAAAGAUUUAUCGGAGAAGGAUUGGCCCGCGUAAGAUUAGAUAGUUGGUGGGGUAAUGGCCUACCAAGUCUACGAUCUUUAGCUGGUUUUAGAGGAUGAUCAGCAACACUGGGACUGAGACACGGCCCAGACUCCUACGGGAGGCAGCAGUGGGGAAUCUUAGACAAUGGGCGCAAGCCUGAUCUAGCCAUGCCGCGUGUGUGAUGAAGGCCUUAGGGUCGUAAAGCACUUUCGCCAGAGAUGAUAAUGACAGUAUCUGGUAAAGAAACCCCGGCUAACUCCGUGCCAGCAGCCGCGGUAAUACGGAGGGGGUUAGCGUUGUUCGGAAUUACUGGGCGUAAAGCGCGCGUAGGCGGAUUAGAAAGUUAGGGGUGAAAUCCCGGGGCUCAACCUCGGAACUGCCUCUAAAACUACUAGUCUAGAGUUCGAGAGAGGUGAGUGGAAUUCCGAGUGUAGAGGUGAAAUUCGUAGAUAUUCGGAGGAACACCAGUGGCGAAGGCGGCU
This 617-nucleotide ribosomal RNA is filed under the name uncultured bacterium. Its description in RNAcentral is "bacterial SSU rRNA". It matches the Rfam family "Bacterial small subunit ribosomal RNA", at positions 63 to 726 of the family's 1533-position model. The record is from RNAcentral.